GGACGGUUAGCUCAGUGGUAGAGCAUCGCCUUCACACGGCGGGGGUCACAGGUUCGAGCCCUGUACCGUCCACCA
RNAcentral lists this transfer RNA (75 nucleotides) under Nevskiaceae bacterium. Its description in RNAcentral is "Sinobacteraceae bacterium tRNA-Val". It matches the Rfam family "tRNA". From Rfam's summary of the family: Transfer RNA (tRNA) molecules are approximately 80 nucleotides in length. The record is from RNAcentral. Lineage: Bacteria; Pseudomonadati; Pseudomonadota; Gammaproteobacteria; Nevskiales; Nevskiaceae.